GUCAAGAUAGCCGAGUUGUCUAAGGCACCAGUUUCAGGUACUGGUCCAAAAGGGCAUGGGCUCAAAUCCCAUUCUUGACA
This 80-nucleotide transfer RNA is filed under the name Vitis vinifera (wine grape). It matches the Rfam family "tRNA". Rfam says of the family: Transfer RNA (tRNA) molecules are approximately 80 nucleotides in length. Their secondary structure includes four short double-helical elements and three loops (D, anti-codon, and T loops). The record is from Rfam by way of RNAcentral. Lineage: Eukaryota; Viridiplantae; Streptophyta; Magnoliopsida; Vitales; Vitaceae.